This 582-nucleotide unclassified non-coding RNA is filed under the name Hevea brasiliensis (rubber tree). Lineage: Eukaryota; Viridiplantae; Streptophyta; Magnoliopsida; Malpighiales; Euphorbiaceae. The record is from RNAcentral.
CCCGCAGCGGGGGCCGGGGGGGUUAUCGAGGAGGGAAUCCAAGAGGAGGCCCUAAGUAUGAUUGAACGAAUGCAGCUAAAAGGAACAUAACCAAGAUCAGGAGUCACAAGUCAUAACUCAUUAAGUCAUAAGUGAACUCCCUUGCAUAAAACCAUCAGAAUAAUCAAACAGGUAUUUUCAUGGUUUACUGGACAGAAGUACAAAAAUUUCAUAGUUAACAACAUAACACGCACAAUAGCAGUGUCAUGUUAAUUCUUUAUGAACAAAAGCCCAGUGAGUCCUGUGUGAAACUUCUAUUCCAAAAAAAGCAGAUUUCAUCAGUAUGCAGGAUAAUCUUCUAAUCAUUGAGAGAGGGGUGGGGAAGUGAGGAAGAAAAGAGAAAAGGUGGAUGAAUUUUGAUGGACUUCGGUCAUCCACCGCUAACCCACAGGCCCAGACAAAGAAGAAUUAAUUUGAAGAAAUAACAAGAUCAUCAUCACCAUCAUCAUCAUUGUUGUUGUUGAAAGGAAAGAAAAAAAAGAUUUGAAGAAAAGGAAGCAAUUUCCUGAUAUUUACAUCUAUAAAUUGAUCUGGACUAUUUUU